UACGUUUUCUAAGUGCUGAACGAGGCGA
RNAcentral lists this small RNA (28 nucleotides) under Bombyx mori (domestic silkworm). RNAcentral describes it as "ovarian small RNA-21216". The record is from RNAcentral. Lineage: Eukaryota; Metazoa; Arthropoda; Insecta; Lepidoptera; Bombycidae.